AGUUGCAACCCUCCUUUUUCUGCGUGGCAGUUGAAAACGAAAGUACCUCCAACCGGUUCCCACCUGCAACCAAUCAGACUGAUUUGCACAGAACGAACCAGUGGGAAACCUAUAGAGGGUAUUUAAACCCCAGAAAAUUCUGUAAUCAAUGCUCUUGAGCUGCUUGCUCAAGGCCUUUCCUUCCUUAUGGAGUGUACUUUGUUUAAAUCCCUGCCUUCACUGCCUUGCUUUGUUUGUGUGUUUUGUUCAAUUCUCUGUUAAAAACGCCAAGAACCUGGACAACUACCCUAAACAGGCAUCAAAAGCACAAAGACGUUGUACACAAAAAUAUUUUCCUUCUGUAUAUCUUUAUUCUAGAAGUUUUUUUCUAUUUAUUUAUUUAUUUAUUUUUUAUUUUGAUUGUUUUUUGCCGUUAAAAUUUUUUUUGUUAAAAAGUAAGACCAAAACACACUUGUUAGCCUGGGCCUACACAGGGUCAUUAAGACAUCACUAAGCAACAGGAAUUUUUUCAGAUCCAUUAUAAUCUUAUGGGACCACAGUGUAUAUGCGGUCUGUUGUUGACCAAAAUAUUGUUGUGUGACACAUUAAUGGGGUGAGGAUAUUAUUCUCUAUUAUUAUCUUAUGUAAUUUUUAAAUGCCAUCAGAUAAAACACAGAAGGGAGCACAGAGCUGCCUGGUCCUGCAGCUAUCCUGGAGUGAGGUGGUGCUGCUAACCACUGGAAGCUGAAGUCCAGAGGCUCUAUUCAGUCAAGGGGUGAUGAACUCUCUUUGGGUCUGGAGACAGGCUGGAACUGGGAUGAGAUAGAGAUGGGGUUUCACCGUGUUAGUCAGUAUGGUCUCGAUCUCCUGACCUCAUGAUCCGCCCACUUCAGCCUCCGAAAGUGCUGGGAUUACAGCCGUGAGCCAGCGUGCCCGGCAACAAUGAAAUAAUUUUAAAUAUGGAGACCCUGCCAUUUGCGACAACAUGGAUGUAUCUGCAGGACAUUAAGACAAGUACAAUAAGCAAGACACGGAAAGAAAAUAUAGCAUGGUCUCUCUUAUAUGUGGAAUUUAAAAAUUAACUCUGAAUACUUUGGAUUAAACUGAUGCAGCAAUCAUCCAAGAGAUGUCCACAUACGCACUCCUGUUAACGUUAGUUCCUUUCAUCCAAGCCAUCAGAGGUUCUCCCUGGAUCUCAUUUUUGGGAGUAGCUGACUUUUUCAUUCUCUGCUGGAGCGUUUGGGCUGAUUCAUCACCGCCUCCCCCACCACCAUUCACUGAGUGUAGCCCCUGGUCGUGGCUGCCUUUUCUGCUAUUUUAUAGACCCAAGCCUGAAUCUAUAAAGCGCUUCCCUUGGUACCUCCCAGAAACUUUUUAUUGCCUGUCUCUUUCUGUCAACUCAGUUGCAGAAAAAUACAUUUUAUGGCUCCAGUACUUUAAGAAAGCUCUGAAAAAUCAAAUCUGUCCAUGGGAGUGCCAGCAUACUAUCUAUUAGAUUAAAUGAAGCUGUAAGCAUCUUUGAAGUACAAAUGAUACUUGGAAAGUAAAUGAAACUGGGAAUACUUGCAAGUAAAAUAUGGGAAGUCAAAGAGAUUAAAGGAUGAGAACCAGAAAUUGCUUAUGGCCAGUGUCCUGAGUAAGCCUCAGAAUCGCAUCCUAGAAGCAUCACGUUCUUGCGUUACCCUAUGGAUCUAAAAAAAGACUUCCUUAGUUUGAUGUAGUCUGCAGACAUCUCAUCAUCACAAAAACUUGAAAGCACUUACAGCACUAAGAAACUACCUUUGCAGAUUGUAAAAAAAGAUAGAAUCCUACUUAGUGUUUUGAUCACACCUGCCUAUUUCCCCAAGGUUUUACUGCAGGGUUAAAGAAUGAAUAAGCAUCUAGUUAUAUUUAAUAAACUCCAUGCCUUAUGGCUGAUUCUAAAGGCA
This is a long non-coding RNA of Pan troglodytes (chimpanzee), 1907 nucleotides long. RefSeq lists it as uncharacterized. The transcript has 7 exons. NCBI's taxonomy places the organism in Eukaryota, Metazoa, Chordata, Mammalia, Primates, Hominidae. The record is from RefSeq and is a predicted model, not a curated record.